AGAGAGAGACAUGCGCGCAUAUCAAUAAGCGGAGGAAAAGAAACUAACAAGGAUUCCCUUAGUAACGGCGAGUGAAGCGGGAAGAGCUCAAAUUUGAAAUCUUCAAGGUUUUACCUUGACGAAUUGUAGUUUAAAGAAGUGUUUUCUGCUGAAGUUUUGGUAAAAAGUUCUUUGGAAUAGGACAUCAUAGAGGGUGAGAAUCCCGUAUUUGACCAUUAUUUCCAGCUUUGUGAUACACUUUCAAAGAGUCGGAUUGUUUGGGAAUGCAGUCCAAAAUGGGUGGUAAAUUUCAUCUAAAGCUAAAUAUUGGCGAGAGACCGAUAGCGAACAAGUACCGUGAGGGAAAGAUGAAAAGAACUUUGAAAAGAGAGUUAAACAGUACGUGAAAUUGUCAAAAGGGAAGCGUUUGACACCAGUGUUGUUUUCUCGAAAAUCAAUUAAAAAUGGCUCGAUUUUGUAUUGCUUGAGACCUUAAAAGCUCACUGUACAUUUUUCGUGUCCUUUUUAAUGCACUUUUCGUUUAACAAGUCAACAUCAGUUUCUUUUGUUGUAAAAGGGUCAUUGGAAGGUGGCUUUCUUUUCGGAGAAAGUGUUUAUAGCCUUUGGCCUCUGCAAUCGGAGAGACUGAGGUCUGCAGCGUAGACUCUUCGGGGUUAGAUACAUUUGUGCUAAGUUAUAGCCUUUUCAUAGACAACUUGUUGACUAUGAUUCAGUCAUUGUAGCUUACUCGCUUAUGCUAUUUUACCUACGCUUAGGAUGUUGAAGAUGUAGCACAUCAU
This 779-nucleotide ribosomal RNA is filed under the name uncultured Neocallimastigales. RNAcentral describes it as "partial large subunit ribosomal RNA". It matches the Rfam family "Eukaryotic large subunit ribosomal RNA", at positions 23 to 620 of the family's 3401-position model. The record is from RNAcentral. Lineage: Eukaryota; Fungi; Neocallimastigomycota; Neocallimastigomycetes; Neocallimastigales.